CAGCAGCCACGGUAAUACGGAGGGGGCUAGCGUUGUUCGGAAUUACUGGGCGUAAAGCGCACGUAGGCGGCUUUGUAAGUCAGAGGUGAAAGCCCGGGGCUCAACCCCGGAAUUGCCUUUGAGACUGCAUCGCUUGAAUCCAGGAGAGGUGAGUGGAAUUCCGAGUGUGGAGGUGAAAUUCGUAGAUAUUCGGAAGAACACCAGUGGCGAAGGCGGCUCACUGGACUGGUAUUGACGCUGAGGUGCGAAAGCGUGGGGAGCAAACAGGAUUAGAUACCCCAGUAGUCCCUGUCUCUUAUAC
Molecule: ribosomal RNA, 301 nt
Filed under: uncultured bacterium
Lineage: Bacteria
Description: partial 16S ribosomal RNA
Rfam family: Bacterial small subunit ribosomal RNA
Source: RNAcentral